GUGUCAGCCGCCGCGGUAAUACGUAGGGUGCAAGCGUUAAUCGGAAUUACUGGGCGUAAAGCGUGUGUAGGCGGUUCGGAAAGAAAGAUGUGAAAUCCCAGGGCUCAACCUUGGAACUGCAUUUUUAACUGCCGAGCUAGAGUAUGUCAGAGGGGGGUAGAAUUCCACGUGUAGCAGUGAAAUGCGUAGAUAUGUGGAGGAAUACCGAUGGCGAAGGCAGCCCCCUGGGAUAAUACUGACGCUCAGACACGAAAGCGUGGGGAGCAAACAGGAUUAGAUACCCUGGUAGUCCACGCCCUAAACGAUGUCAACUAGCUGUUGGGGCCGUUAGGCCUUAGUAGCGCAGCUAACGCGUGAAGUUGACCGCCUGGGGAGUACGGUCGCAAGAUUAAAACUCAAAGGAAUUGACGGGGACCCGCACAAGCGGUGGAUGAUGUGGAUUAAUUCGAUGCAACGCGAAAAACCUUACCUACCCUUGACAUGUCUGGAAAGCCGAAGAGAUUUGGCCGUGCUCGCAAGAGAACCGGAACACAGGUGCUGCAUGGCUGUCGUCAGCUCGUGUCGUGAGAUGUUGGGUUAAGUCCCGCAACGAGCGCAACCCUUGUCAUUAGUUGCUACGCAAGAGCACUCUAAUGAGACUGCCGGUGACAAACCGGAGGAAGGUGGGGAUGACGUCAAGUCCUCAUGGCCCUUAUGGGUAGGGCUUCACACGUCAUACAAUGGUCGGGACAGAGGGUCGCCAACCCGCGAGGGGGAGCCAAUCUCAGAAACCCGAUCGUAGUCCGGAUCGCAGUCUGCAACUCGACUGCGUGAAGUCGGAAUCGCUAGUAAUCGCGGAUCAGAAUGUCGCGGUGAAUACGUUCCCGGGUCUUGUACACACCGCCCGUCACACCAUGGGAGUGGGUUUCACCAGAAGUAGGUAGCCUAACCGUAAGGAGGGCGCUUACCACGGUGGGAUUCACUGGGGUGAAGUCGUAACAAGGUAACC
Molecule: ribosomal RNA, 988 nt
Filed under: uncultured Alcaligenes sp.
Lineage: Bacteria; Pseudomonadati; Pseudomonadota; Betaproteobacteria; Burkholderiales; Alcaligenaceae
Description: bacterial SSU rRNA
Rfam family: Bacterial small subunit ribosomal RNA
Source: RNAcentral